Molecule: ribosomal RNA, 253 nt
Filed under: uncultured bacterium
Lineage: Bacteria
Description: partial 16S ribosomal RNA
Rfam family: Bacterial small subunit ribosomal RNA
Source: RNAcentral
UACGAAGGGGGCUAGCGUUGCUCGGAAUCACUGGGCGUAAAGGGUGCGUAGGCGGGUCUUUAAGUCAGAGGUGAAAUCCUGGAGCUCAACUCCAGAACUGCCUUUGAUACUGAAGAUCUUGAGUUCGGGAGAGGUGAGUGGAACUGCGAGUGUAGAGGUGAAAUUCGUAGAUAUUCGCAAGAACACCAGUGGCGAAGGCGGCUCACUGGCCCGAUACUGACGCUGAGGCACGAAAGCGUGGGGAGAAAACAGG